This 468-nucleotide ribosomal RNA is filed under the name uncultured bacterium. RNAcentral describes it as "partial 16S ribosomal RNA". It matches the Rfam family "Bacterial small subunit ribosomal RNA", at positions 28 to 507 of the family's 1533-position model. The record is from RNAcentral.
GACGAACGCUGGCGGCGUGCUUAACACAUGCAAGUCGAACGGAAAGGCCCUGCUUUUGUGGGGUGCUCGAGUGGCGAACGGGUGAGUAACACGUGAGUAACCUGCCCUUGACUUUGGGAUAACUUCAGGAAACUGGGGCUAAUACCGGAUAGGAGCUCCUGCUGCAUGGUGGGGGUUGGAAAGUUUCGGCGGUUGGGGAUGGACUCGCGGCUUAUCAGCUUGUUGGUGGGGUAGUGGCUUACCAAGGCUUUGACGGGUAGCCGGCCUGAGAGGGUGACCGGCCACAUGGGGACUGAGAGACGGCCCAGACUCCUACGGGAGGCAGCAGUGGGGAAUAUUGCACAAUGGGCGGGAGCCUGAUGCGGCAACGCCGCGUGCGGGAUGACGGCCUUCGGGUUGUAAACCGCUUUCGCCUGUGACGAAGCGUGAGUGACGGUAAUGGGUAAAGAAGCACCGGCUAACUACGUG